GACGAACGCUGGCGGUGUGCUUAACACAUGCAAGUCGAACGGAAAGGCCCUGCUUUUGUGGGGUGCUCGAGUGGCGAACGGGUGAGUAACACGUGAGUAACCUGCCCUUGACUUUGGGAUAACUUCAGGAAACUGGGGCUAAUACCGGAUAGGAGCUCCUGUUGCAUGGUGGGGGUUGGAAAGUUUCGGCGGUUGGGGAUGGACUCGCGGCUUAUCAGCUUGUUGGUGGGGUAGUGGCUUACCAAGGCUUUGACGGGUAGCCGGCCUGAGAGGGUGACCGGCCACAUUGGGACUGAGAUACGGCCCAGACUCCUACGGGAGGCAGCAGUGGGGAAUAUUGCACAAUGGGCGGAAGCCUGAUGCAGCAACGCCGCGUGCGGGAUGACGGCCUUCGGGUUGUAAACCGCUUUCGCCUGUGACGAAGCGUGAGUGACGGUAAUGGGUAAAGAAGCACCGGCUAACUACGUG
RNAcentral lists this ribosomal RNA (468 nucleotides) under uncultured bacterium. RNAcentral describes it as "partial 16S ribosomal RNA". It matches the Rfam family "Bacterial small subunit ribosomal RNA", at positions 28 to 507 of the family's 1533-position model. The record is from RNAcentral.